AAAUAUUACAGACUUCUCUGAACCACUUACGAUCCAGUUCGCCGUGCAUGUUGGUGCGUUCUAUGGUAGCGUUGCUGUUAUUGCCGCAAGUGCUGUUACUGGUGCUGGUGCUGCUGUCGUUGCUGCUGCUCCUACAAUCUCAGCUGUACCAUUCCCGAUGCACUACCCGUGUUUCGCUGUACUUGAAUGCCCAGUAGCUACGAUCGCCAUCCGCUGUAGGUCACUACUUACUACUGCCAAACCAAUGCCCUUCGCGGUGUUGCCUGUUCGAGUUACUGCUGUUACUGUCCUCAGAGCCGUCAACAAAUGCUGUAAGCAAAAAAAAACUCAGUGAACAAGAUAAGAGCUGCUCUGUCCAUCCCUCCAUCCAUCCAUCCAUCCAUACUUACAGCCAUCGUUUAACCAAUGAUCGGGCUCGCUCUGCCUGUCCUGCUGUCUGCUUUGUUCAUGAU
Anopheles gambiae (African malaria mosquito) is the source of this 452-nucleotide long non-coding RNA. RefSeq lists it as uncharacterized. The record is from RefSeq and is a predicted model, not a curated record. Lineage: Eukaryota; Metazoa; Arthropoda; Insecta; Diptera; Culicidae. The transcript has 3 exons.